RNAcentral lists this long non-coding RNA (477 nucleotides) under Mustela putorius furo (domestic ferret). RNAcentral's name for it is "lncRNA (ENSMPUG00000025331.1)". Lineage: Eukaryota; Metazoa; Chordata; Mammalia; Carnivora; Mustelidae. The record is from RNAcentral.
AUGGGGGCGGGGUCCUCACGAGUGGGAUUCGCGCCUUCAUACAAGAGAGCCCAGAGAGCUCUCUUGUCCUUUCUGCCGUGUGAGGUUACAGAAGGAAGACAGCCAUCUAGAAGGAAGCAGAACCCCACCAGACACCAAGUCUGCAGGUGCCCCCAUCCUGGCUUCCUGGCCUCCAGAACUGUGAGAAUGCUGUCCCGGCCACCCCGUGGGGACUCAGCUGUGGCUGCAGACUUGUCAGGCAGACGUAGCCAGCAGCCAACAACAGAUGGCCAGACCCUGUCAGUCACUGCUGAUCUGGGCCAAAUCCCGAAGAGAGAGCAUUUCAGGAAGCUGGUCACCUGCCAAGGUAACCCAAACAAAAAGGAACCAGGAAUACCUACUAGAGUGACAACUUGUAAUAAGAUAAGGGCAAAGAUUAACAAUUAAAAAUCAGAAUUAUCUGUUAAAAAUUUACCUUACUUGACCAUAAAGAUUAGG